ACCAAUUAAAAAUAUUGCAUAUUUACCCUUUGGAGCUGGUCCUCGAGUUUGCAUCGGAAUGAGGUUUGCCAUAAUGGAAAUGAAACUUGGCUUGUCGAAAAUAAUAGAAAAUUUCUCCAUAAAACUAGGGGAAAAAGCAAAAUUCCCUGUGGAAUUUAAUAAAAGAAGCUUUUUUUUGUCAGCAUCUCAUGGCUACUUAAAAAUGACAAAGAUUAAAAGUAAUAUACAUCAAUAAAGCAUAAAAGGUU
Long non-coding RNA from Cimex lectularius (bed bug), 248 nucleotides. RefSeq lists it as uncharacterized. The record is from RefSeq and is a predicted model, not a curated record. The transcript is spliced from 2 exons. NCBI's taxonomy places the organism in Eukaryota, Metazoa, Arthropoda, Insecta, Hemiptera, Cimicidae.